AACCAGAACCAACUACAUUAAUAUGAAUCCAAGCACAAAGUGGUUUUGACAGUCUCCUACCUGAGGUUCUACUCUCAGCUUCUUCAAGCCUCUAGCAAAGGACUUGACUACAAUUUUUUCUAAGGAUGUGGAUGAAGACUACAAGAUCAUCCACUGAGGAAGAACUUUCAUUGUCAUGGAUGUGAGACAUGAGAUACUAUUCUUCCAUACAAAGGAGGAGGAUUUUCUGGUUUAACCUAAAGAGUUGGAUCUGGACCGGCACUGGAGACAAGAGCAGCAGAGAGCUGGUUUUAAACUAUGUCUUCAAUGGUCUUACAUAUCAUAAGAGAAAGAAAGUUCACAUUUCAUGAAGCACUUCAAAGACAUCCAUGACUAUGAAUGGGAGAAAUACUUAAAAAUAAAAAAAUGAAAAACCUAGAUUAGGGGGAAGAUUGCAGAGAGACAUUUGUGAUGGAUACCUUACCAGUUUCUCAUUCAGAAUGCCACAGCAGCAACCAAAGUAUCACCAAGAAGCUGUAAAUAUAAUAUGACUACAGAUGUGGUUACUAAGAAGUGUAUCUAAUCAUGAAGUCCAGCCAGGAGAGAUACUUCUGAUCUAAGGAAAGAACCAUAUACCCAUAGAAAGAACAUUUCUACCAAAGGCUGAUUAUUAGAUUUGUAAUCUUCACUUAAUAUACAGUGUUUGCUUGUCACCAUCUGUUUAUACCAGUCACUUCAGUGAGCCUGUAUCAUGAUUACAAGAAACUAGCCAGCACAUACAUGGAACUCUUGUGCCAGUGACAGGAUCACCAACUCUAUCACAGUGUGCCAAGCAUCUACUGCUUUACAUGACCUCUUCUAGUCUUCACCUCACUACCUGAUUCCCAUUUAUACACCAACUUUGGCUGCCAGCAUGAAGUAUAUUCUUGAUCACCCCUGGAAAACAGCUUCUGUGUGGUAAUCUCAGGGGUCUCUCCAUGCUGUUUAUGAUGAUCUCAAAUUCAAGCAAUGAGGACUUUCAGUUCUCCCAAGUUCCGAGAAGCUUUUCCUGAAUACAGUUACCUAGCUGGUGAAUGCCACAUCAAUAAUGGAAGUAUCAGUAAAAAUCUGCAGAACCAACAUGGCUACUAUUGUGGGUACUGAAUAAUAUGUCUA
This is a non-coding RNA of Mus caroli (Ryukyu mouse), 1134 nucleotides long. The record is from RefSeq and is a predicted model, not a curated record. Lineage: Eukaryota; Metazoa; Chordata; Mammalia; Rodentia; Muridae.